AUCACUAUUUAUUUUCUUAAUUAAAAACUUUAAAAAUCACAAUGGCUGAGCCCUGAAACUUCUUUUUUUAAAUUUAUUUAUCAAAAAUCUUCAAGAGUUUAAGUUUGUUGGAUAGAUAUGUUUUUUUUAUUUCUUUGAAUCUUCAAAAAAACUAAUGGCAAAGCAUUUUCAGAUUUUCUAAAAAAAUAAAUAAAAAUUGAAUCACUUUGAUUGUUUUUCUGAUCAUUGUUUUUUGAAAUUUCCACGUGAAACUUUCUUAGGGUCAAAUUUUAUUAAGCAGGAACCUUGUAAAUAACAAUAUUUAUGAUGACUUUUUUUUAAAAAAAUAUAGUAGUGAUUGUUUUUUGGUUUCAAAAAUAUUAAAGUAAUAUUUUUUUAUUUUUUAAAAAUUAUUUUUGAUAUUAGUAUAUUAAAAUAAUAAUAAAAGCAUUAAUGUUUUUUUUUUAUUUUGAAUUUUUAUGACACACUAUUCGGCGCCACCUUAGAGAUAGAUACCAAACUUGUUGAUUCGGGAUCCCAUAUCGGUUUAAGUUUGUCAUUAAUCCGAACAGGCAAUUUAUCUAGCAGGCAUGUCAGACUGCAUGCAUGUACCUUCUUGAAAAAGCAUCACUUGCAUCAAUGCGGUCAUUUAUCAAUAACGGGACUCCAUGGGAACGACAGUCUGCAAGACAAGCUCUUUCCGUUUCCAAUAACUCCCGUGUUUAAGCAUCCUUGAAGGAAAAUCUUCGAGAUUAACAAAAUUACAUUGCUAUGCAAUUGCAAGUCAAUGCAGAGAUCAAGCUGUAAGCAAUACUCCACCCACAUUCAUGGCGACCUUUAUUCAUUUGCAAAGCGGUUUUACAGCCCCUAUUGAUCAACUGCAAAAGGGUGAAUUUACGUAGAGCAAAAACAUGCUUUAGACACUUGAACUAGAGACCCAUUAUGAAAUGCUCACGUUCAUGGAAGUUCAAGAAAUGAAAACAGAGAGAGCUCCGAGGGAAGUCGAGAAACUACAGAUGAGUAACAGUAAAUUGCGAGUCAAAACAUCGGAACUCUCUCUCAAGGGUGAAUGGUAAGAGAAUAGCGUCGUUCUUAACAUCCAAUGGAACACAACACAUGCAUCUGAACGCGCGUCACAAACAGGCUUAUUCGACUUAAUUUGUGUUUCCAUAGGCAAAUCUUGCAUUUAUUGACCAAGCUUGCUGAGUUUAAAUGAAUAAAUAAAUACAUAAAUUGAUGUUUUAAUUAACUCGUUAUGAACUCAAUCUUCUUGACAGCACAGACCAGUCAUGAUACUCCCGAGUCACCAAGAACUCGAAGUUGGUUGUUGUCUAGGAACCAAAGCCACAAGUGCAUUGGUACUAAGUAUUUGUAAGCAGUGUAUCCUCAGAGAUUGCAGAGUUCACAAGUUGAAAAGCUUGAUCGGCCUGACUCCCAGAUCACUACAACCAGGACUUUGCCCAGAAGCUGCUAAUCGUUUACAAGAAAUGGAGCACAAAUACGAAGACAGGAGGCAAGAAAGAUAGAGUUUUGACCGAACAGGUUGCACACAAAAACCUAAUUCCUAGUUUUAUUUCUGAAAUACAAAAUCUAAUAAGCAUUUCUGUCUCUCUUAGAGGUUUAUAAGCCUUUAAAUAGAUCUAAAACUGAUUUUAACAAGGAAGAAAAAUUAUAAUCCCUAAACUUAAAAAAAAAAAAAACUAACAUAAAAUAUAAAAAAAAUAAUAAAUUCAGAAAAA
Long non-coding RNA from Populus trichocarpa (black cottonwood), 1718 nucleotides. RefSeq lists it as uncharacterized. The transcript has 2 exons. Lineage: Eukaryota; Viridiplantae; Streptophyta; Magnoliopsida; Malpighiales; Salicaceae. The record is from RefSeq and is a predicted model, not a curated record.